GUCAGGAUGGCCGAGUGGUCUAAGGCGCCAGACUCAAGGCGCUGCCUUCCCGCAGGUUGGGGGUUCUGGUCUCCGUGUGGAGGCGUGGGUUCAAAUCCCACUCCUGACA
RNAcentral lists this transfer RNA (109 nucleotides) under Patagioenas fasciata monilis. It matches the Rfam family "tRNA". From Rfam's summary of the family: Transfer RNA (tRNA) molecules are approximately 80 nucleotides in length. Their secondary structure includes four short double-helical elements and three loops (D, anti-codon, and T loops). The record is from Rfam by way of RNAcentral. Lineage: Eukaryota; Metazoa; Chordata; Aves; Columbiformes; Columbidae.